GGUCAUCGGGUUUUGGACUGUGUCGGUGGGUUCUAGAUCGUACCCUCGAAUUUUGGACCAUGCCGGUGGGUUCUGGGCCAUCAGAUUCUAGACCAAGCUAGUGGAUUCUGGGUCAUGCCCAUGAGUUCUGGACCAUGCCGGUGGGCUUUGGGUCAUGCCCAUGAGUUUUGGGCCAUGCCGGUGGGUUCUGGGCCAUGUCGACAAUUGUGGGCUGUGCCGUCAGGUUCUGAGCCAUCGGAUUCUGGGUC
This 248-nucleotide long non-coding RNA is filed under the name Elaeis guineensis (African oil palm). Its description in RNAcentral is "long non-coding RNA (EGUI_LNC050844)". The record is from RNAcentral. Lineage: Eukaryota; Viridiplantae; Streptophyta; Magnoliopsida; Arecales; Arecaceae.